This 497-nucleotide ribosomal RNA is filed under the name uncultured bacterium. RNAcentral describes it as "partial 16S ribosomal RNA". It matches the Rfam family "Bacterial small subunit ribosomal RNA", at positions 28 to 507 of the family's 1533-position model. The record is from RNAcentral.
GAUGAACGCUGGCGGCGUGCCUAAUACAUGCAAGUCGAGCGAACAGACGAGGAGCUUGCUCCUUCGACGUUAGCGGCGGACGGGUGAGUAACACGUAGGUAACCUACCUAUAAGACUGGGAUAACUUCGGGAAACCGGAGCUAAUACCGGAUAAUAUUUCGAACCGCAUGGUUCGAUAGUGAAAGAUGGCUUUGCUAUCACUUAUAGAUGGACCUGCGCCGUAUUAGCUAGUUGGUAAGGGAACGGCUUACCAAGGCAACGAUGCGUAGCCGACCUGAGAGGGUGAUCGGCCACACUGGAACUGAGACACGGUCCAGACUCCUACGGGAGGCAGCAGUAGGGAAUCUUCCGCAAUGGGCGAAAGCCUGACGGAGCAACGCCGCGUGAGUGAUGAAGGUCUUCGGAUCGUAAAACUCUGUUAUUAGGGAAGAACAAACGUGUAAGUAACUGUGCACGUCUUGACGGUACCUAAUCAGAAAGCCACGGCUAACUACGUG